GUCAGGUCUUUAUUGCCCUUACGUCCAGGGCUAGAAACGCGCUACAAUGGCCGGUACAAUGGGCAGCCAACCCGCGAGGGGGAGCAAAUCUCAUCAAAACCGGUCCCAGUUCGGAUUGCAGGCUGAAACUCGCCUGCAUGAAGCCGGAAUCGCUAGUAAUCGCAGAUCAGCAUGCUGCGGUGAAUACGUUCCCGGGUCUU
This 200-nucleotide ribosomal RNA is filed under the name uncultured organism. RNAcentral's name for it is "partial small subunit ribosomal RNA". It matches the Rfam family "Bacterial small subunit ribosomal RNA", at positions 1184 to 1382 of the family's 1533-position model. The record is from RNAcentral.